UUAAACAAGCUGUCGUGUGUGUUCAGAGUUCUGCAGACGUUCAUCACCUCCACAGACAUUAAAGGAGACUUUCUAACGUGGAGGAGUGCGUGCUGUCCCCAAGGUCAGCGAAAGCCAGCCAGAAGGUCACUGCAAGGAGAAGAGACAGCCGUGCUGCCCAGGGGAAGGGGCAGGGCUCAGGCCGAGUGGCCGCUAUGUACAAGGGGUUGUAUGUGACCGGAUGACCCACCGUGAGAAGAUUCCCUGAGCUGCUUCCAGGAAGAAAUUGGGGGUUGACUUGCCUCUGCCACUGGAGAAGAGGUGAGGGCCUUCUGCUGCCGGUUCAGUGGCCAGACAAACGAGACGAAGUCAAAGGCCUUCGGGGAUGUUGGCAAGGCUUGGUGGUUCCUUCUACCCAGAAUGAAAAUGAUCAUAAAAGAACAUUUUCUUGGGACUUCCCUGGUGGCUCAGUGGAUAGGAAUCCGCCUGCCAGUGCAGGAGACAUGGGUUCAAUCCUUCGUCCUGGAAGAUUCCUGGAAGAUUCUAGAGCCUGUGUUCUGCAACUAGAGGAGCCACCACAAUGAGAAGCUCACGCCCCGCAACAAAGAGUAGCCCCUGCUCACUGCAACUAAGAAAGCCCACAUAUCAACGAAGACCCAACACAGCCAAAAAUAAACACACAAAUAAAUACUUUUUAGAAAGAACAUCUUCUUGCUUCCCUGGGUGCCAUUUCCCAGUGGGUCACAGUGCGACGAGGCUGGGCAGGGGGGCACAUCUUCCCAGCUGAACUCUCUCUCCUGCUCGUAGUGGUGUCCUUCAGCAAUGGCUAAUGAUGGUAGCUUCUCAAGGUGUACCUUAAGAUCAUAACCUCUUUUCAGACCAGCUCAAGUUGUGGGUUUUAUAGCCAAACCAUUGUUAAUUGAAGAUGAGUCCUCCUGGCAUCCACAUGAAUAGCUGCUUAACCUGACCAGCAGCCCAUAUCCAGUGAUGCCAUGCAAGAGCAAAGAGAUGCCAGCAACUUGUCGCCAGAGCAAUUGUGACUGUUCCCAGUGAUGCACGGUAGCUCUUGACCUCAGCACCCUUCACUGCGUCCUUGAGCUUCAGUCCUGUUGUUAUGUCUGCAUUAAAAACAAUACAAAAGCUUUUCAGUGUCUCCAUUCCUGUUGCUCUGUCAGUUCAGUUCAGUCACUCAGUCAUGUCUGACUCUUUGUGAC
Molecule: long non-coding RNA, 1193 nt
Organism: Dama dama (fallow deer)
Lineage: Eukaryota; Metazoa; Chordata; Mammalia; Artiodactyla; Cervidae
Exons: 3
Source: RefSeq, a predicted model, not a curated record